CGUGCACCAGUGGGGUCCCUCGGCCUGGCUUGCUCCCUCUCGCAACUCAGGACCCCUCGGGGGAUGUCGGAGAGCCGGUUUCAGCCUGUAUGCAGGCCAGGCCGAGGGACCCCACUGAUGCACG
RNAcentral lists this microRNA precursor (124 nucleotides) under Myotis lucifugus (little brown bat). RNAcentral describes it as "mir-9193 microRNA precursor family". It matches the Rfam family "mir-9193 microRNA precursor family". The record is from Rfam by way of RNAcentral. Lineage: Eukaryota; Metazoa; Chordata; Mammalia; Chiroptera; Vespertilionidae.